Molecule: ribosomal RNA, 434 nt
Filed under: uncultured Clostridium sp.
Lineage: Bacteria; Bacillati; Bacillota; Clostridia; Eubacteriales; Clostridiaceae
Description: partial 16S ribosomal RNA
Rfam family: Bacterial small subunit ribosomal RNA
Source: RNAcentral
ACGGGAGGCAGCAGUGGGGAAUAUUGGACAAUGGGGGAAACCCUGAUCCAGCGACGCCGCGUGAGUGAAGAAGUAUUUCGGUAUGUAAAGCUCUAUCAGCAAGGAAGAAAAUGACGGUACUUGACUAAGAAGCCCCGGCUAACUACGUGCCAGCAGCCGCGGUAAUACGGAGGAUCCGAGCGUUAUCCGGAUUUAUUGGGUUUAAAGGGUGCGCAGGCGGGCUGCUAAGUCUCCGGUGAAAUGUCAGGGCUCAACCUUGGCACUGCCGGAGAUACUGGCGGCCUUGAGAGUGGCGGAGGUAUCCGGAAUGUGUGGUGUAGCGGUGAAAUGCAUAGAUAUCACACAGAACACCGAUUGCGAAGGCAGGAUACCAUACCAUAUCUGACGCUCAGGCACGAAAGCGUGGGGAUCGAACAGGAUUAGAUACCCUGGUA